This 253-nucleotide ribosomal RNA is filed under the name uncultured bacterium. RNAcentral's name for it is "partial 16S ribosomal RNA". It matches the Rfam family "Bacterial small subunit ribosomal RNA", at positions 524 to 776 of the family's 1533-position model. The record is from RNAcentral.
UACAGAGGGUGCGAGCGUUAAUCGGAAUUACUGGGCGUAAAGCGAGCGUAGGCGGUUGACUCAGUCAGAUGUGAAAUCCCCGGGCUUAACCUGGGAACUGCAUCUGAUACUGGUUGACUUGAAUGUGUGAGAGGGGAGUAGAAUUCCAGGUGUAGCGGUGAAAUGCGUAGAGAUCUGGAGGAAUACCGAUGGCGAAGGCAGCUCCCUGGCAUAACAUUGACGCUGAGGUUCGAAAGCGUGGGUAGCAAACAGG